UUAUAUCACUGAUUCUCCCAAGCCUCCACCUGAGAGGAUUACUUUCACACUCCCUGUAAUCAACUCUGCUUCUAAUGUUGCUAUGGUGGCUGUGGGCGAGGAGAAGGCCAUGGCAGUGCACCUUGCCGCUGCUGGCGCCGGUGAGAACUUUGAUGCCUCUUCGUUGCCUGCUAGGAUGGUUCAGCCAACUGAUGGAAAAUUAGUGUGGUUCUUGGAUUCGACGGCUGCCUCGGUUUUGGAUGUCAGUAACGGCGGCUCCGGGUAAGCUAUGUGAUAACUGUGGGGCCCUGUUGAUGUGUCUAUGUAGAUCGAU
RNAcentral lists this long non-coding RNA (313 nucleotides) under Musa acuminata (dwarf banana). RNAcentral's name for it is "long non-coding RNA (MACU_LNC001892)". Lineage: Eukaryota; Viridiplantae; Streptophyta; Magnoliopsida; Zingiberales; Musaceae. The record is from RNAcentral.